CCCCUCACAGAUGUGAACUGUAGGGGGCGCUCUAACACAUUAUACCCCUCACAGAUGUGAACUGUAGGGGGCGCUCUAACACAUUAUACCCCUCACAUAUGUGAACUGUAGGGGGCGCUCUAACACAUUAUACCCCUCACAGAUGUGAACUGUAGGGGGCGCUCUAACACAUUAUACCCCUCACAGAUGUGAACUGUAGGGGAC
Long non-coding RNA from Xyrauchen texanus (razorback sucker), 204 nucleotides. RefSeq lists it as uncharacterized. The transcript is spliced from 3 exons. The record is from RefSeq and is a predicted model, not a curated record. Lineage: Eukaryota; Metazoa; Chordata; Actinopteri; Cypriniformes; Catostomidae.